RNAcentral lists this ribosomal RNA (402 nucleotides) under uncultured Roseiflexus sp. Its description in RNAcentral is "bacterial SSU rRNA". It matches the Rfam family "Bacterial small subunit ribosomal RNA", at positions 353 to 772 of the family's 1533-position model. Lineage: Bacteria; Bacillati; Chloroflexota; Chloroflexia; Chloroflexales; Roseiflexaceae. The record is from RNAcentral.
AGCAAGGAAUUUUCGUCAAUGGGCGCAAGCCUGAACGAGCAACGCCGCGUGGGGGAUGACGGCCUUCGGGUUGUAAACCCCUUUUUGGGGGGACGAUAAUGACGGUACCCCCGGAAUAAGCCCCGGCUAACUCUGUGCCAGCAGCCGCGGUAAUACAGAGGGGGCAAGCGUUGUCCGGACUUACUGGGCGUAAAGCGCACGCAGGUGGCCGCGCAAGUGUUAUGUGAAAGCCCCGCGCUCAACGCGGGGAGGCCACGACAGACUGCGCAGCUUGAGGGAUGCAGAGGAUGGUGGAAUUGCCGGUGUAGUGGUGAAAUGCGUAGAGAUCGGCAGGAACACCAAGGCCGAAGGGAGCCAUCUGGGCAUCACCUGACACUCAUGUGCGACAGCGUGGGGAGCGAA